Molecule: ribosomal RNA, 221 nt
Filed under: Shigella flexneri
Lineage: Bacteria; Pseudomonadati; Pseudomonadota; Gammaproteobacteria; Enterobacterales; Enterobacteriaceae
Description: partial 16S ribosomal RNA
Rfam family: Bacterial small subunit ribosomal RNA
Source: RNAcentral
AACUACUGGAAACGGUAGCUAAUACCGCAUAACGUCGCAAGACCAAAGAGGGGGACCUUCGGGCCUCUUGCCAUCGGAUGUGCCCAGAUGGGAUUAGCUAGUAGGUGGGGUAACGGCUCACCUAGGCGACGAUCCCUAGCUGGUCUGAGAGGAUGACCAGCCACACUGGAACUGAGACACGGUCCAGACUCCUACGGGAGGCAGCAGUGGGGAAUAUUGCA